GCUUGUCUCAAAGAUUAAGCCAUGCAUGUCUAAGUAUAAACUGCUUAUACUGUGAAACUGCGAAUGGCUCAUUAAAUCAGUUAUAGUUUAUUUGAUGGUACCUCUACUCGGAUAACCGUAGUAAUUCUAGAGCUAAUACGUGCGCAAAUCCCGACUUCUGGAAGGGACGUAUUUAUUAGAUCCAACCAGCCCGGUUCGCCGGAGUCCCUGGUGAGUCAUAAUAACUGAGCGAAUCGCAUGGCCUUGUGCCGGCGAUGGUUCAUUCAAGUUUCUGCCCUAUCAGCUUUCGAUGGUAGGGUAUUGGCCUACCAUGGCGUUAACGGGUAACGGAGAAUUAGGGUUCGAUUCCGGAGAGGGAGCCUGAGAAACGGCUACCACAUCCAAGGAAGGCAGCAGG
Molecule: ribosomal RNA, 397 nt
Filed under: Chlamydomonas sordida
Lineage: Eukaryota; Viridiplantae; Chlorophyta; Chlorophyceae; Chlamydomonadales; Chlamydomonadaceae
Description: partial small subunit ribosomal RNA
Rfam family: Eukaryotic small subunit ribosomal RNA
Source: RNAcentral